RNAcentral lists this ribosomal RNA (478 nucleotides) under uncultured bacterium. RNAcentral's name for it is "bacterial SSU rRNA". It matches the Rfam family "Bacterial small subunit ribosomal RNA", at positions 28 to 489 of the family's 1533-position model. The record is from RNAcentral.
GAUGAACGCUGGCGGCGUGCCUAAUACAUGCAAGUCGAGCGAACUGAUUAGAAGCUUGCUUCUAUGACGUUAGCGGCGGACGGGUGAGUAACACGUGGGCAACCUGCCUGUAAGACUGGGAUAACUCCGGGAAACCGAAGCUAAUACCGGAUAGGAUCUUCUCCUUCAUGGGAGAUGAUUGAAAGAUGGUUUCGGCUAUCACUUACAGAUGGGCCCGCGGUGCAUUAGCUAGUUGGUGAGGUAACGGCUCACCAAGGCAACGAUGCAUAGCCGACCUGAGAGGGUGAUCGGCCACACUGGGACUGAGACACGGCCCAGACUCCUACGGGAGGCAGCAGUAGGGAAUCUUCCGCAAUGGACGAAAGUCUGACGGAGCAACGCCGCGUGAGUGAUGAAGGCUUUCGGGUCGUAAACUCUGUUGUUAGGAAGAACAAGUGCGAGAGUAACUGCUCGUACCUUGACGGUACCUAACCAGAAA